GCCUGCGCACUAAGGCGAGGCGGGCCUUCGGCGCCUAGCGGAGAGCAAGGCAACAGCAAUGCUGGAGGCCGACCGCGUGGUGGUGCUAGUAUCCGCAGGAUUCGAGCGGGGCCCUCAAUUUAGUUUUCCCGAGUUAGAAACUCGUGUCUGGCUCUGCUUGGAACCUAUCAGGUAAAGGUGCGGCUGCAGAGAUUCGUGGCAGGGCCCAGCUUGCGGCAGUAGCAAAAGGCGUUGAAGAAGCGGCAGUAGCACGUGGCGCACGGGUCGCAGCAAGGCACUUGUUGUCCCAGGCAGGACUCGUGCAGCCUUACACAGCGACGCGGAGAACGAGACUCGCGAUUCUGUGGAUCUAGCACCUGCAUUCAUAGAAAAACAAGAACGUCUGGCCGAACUUUGAUCAAGGACACCAAAGGGCCAGUGAGUGUCACCAGCCACGAGUGGAGUAAAAAACUAGACCCAAGGUUUCUUUGGAA
This is a long non-coding RNA of Mesocricetus auratus (golden hamster), 473 nucleotides long. RefSeq lists it as uncharacterized. NCBI's taxonomy places the organism in Eukaryota, Metazoa, Chordata, Mammalia, Rodentia, Cricetidae. The record is from RefSeq and is a predicted model, not a curated record. The transcript has 3 exons.